Molecule: ribosomal RNA, 402 nt
Filed under: uncultured bacterium
Lineage: Bacteria
Description: bacterial SSU rRNA
Rfam family: Bacterial small subunit ribosomal RNA
Source: RNAcentral
GGGCCCGCACAAGCGGUGGAGCAUGUGGUUUAAUUCGAUGAUACGCGAGGAACCUUACCAGGGCUUAAAUGUGGUUUGACAGCUUUAGAGAUAGAGUUUUCUUCGGACAAAUCACAAGGUGCUGCAUGGUUGUCGUCAGCUCGUGCCGUGAGGUGUCAGGUUAAGUCCUAUAACGAGCGCAACCCCUGUUGUUAGUUGCCAGCGAGUAAUGUCGGGAACUCUAGCAAGACUGCCGGUGCAAACCGUGAGGAAGGUGGGGAUGACGUCAAAUCAUCACGGCCCUUACGUCCUGGGCUACACACGUGCUACAAUGGUAGGGACAGAGAGCAGCCACUUCGUGAGAAGGAGCGAAUCUAUAAAACCUAUCUCAGUUCGGAUCGGAGUCUGCAACUCGACUCCGUG